Aotus nancymaae (Ma's night monkey) is the source of this 81-nucleotide microRNA precursor. NCBI's taxonomy places the organism in Eukaryota, Metazoa, Chordata, Mammalia, Primates, Aotidae. The record is from Ensembl.
GGGUAAGUGGAAAGGUGGUGGACCGCAGAACAUGUGCUGAGUUCGUGCCAUAUGUCUGCUGACCAUCACCUUUAGGAGCCC